GUGUGUUACAAUUUAACGUUGCGUCGUUUGUUUUCUCUUAUUUUUGAGUGUAAAUUGACAUUGCGAUAAGACGUGUCACGGUACUUGUCUAUCCCAAAUUCAUGUAUUUGGUUUUGAUGUUAUAUUUGUUAUUCUCGUAGGAUUUUGUCUGAUGCUUGGUCCGUUUCUGUGUGUGUUAGUUACAUUGUAGUGUUGUGUCGUUGUUCUCCUCUUAUAUUUAUGCGUUUCCGUCAGUUUUAGUUUGUUACCCCGA
This 253-nucleotide long non-coding RNA is filed under the name Mytilus galloprovincialis (Mediterranean mussel). Lineage: Eukaryota; Metazoa; Mollusca; Bivalvia; Mytilida; Mytilidae. The record is from RNAcentral.